AGAAACUUAGGAUCAGACCUAAACCAGGAGCCUUCAAAGCCCCAAACAAGAGAUAAAUCCUCUUAGUUUCUG
Molecule: transfer RNA, 72 nt
Filed under: Batagur affinis edwardmolli
Lineage: Eukaryota; Metazoa; Chordata; Testudines; Geoemydidae
Also listed under: 1 other name
Description: tRNA-Trp
Source: RNAcentral